Molecule: ribosomal RNA, 497 nt
Filed under: uncultured bacterium
Lineage: Bacteria
Description: partial 16S ribosomal RNA
Rfam family: Bacterial small subunit ribosomal RNA
Source: RNAcentral
GAUGAACGCUGGCGGCGUGCCUAAUACAUGCAAGUCGAGCGAACAGACGAGGAGCUUGCUCCUCUGACGUUAGCGGCGGACGGGUGAGUAACACGUGGAUAACCUACCUAUAAGACUGGGAUAACUUCGGGAAACCGGAGCUAAUACCGGAUAAUAUAUUGAACCGCAUGGUUCAAUAGUUAAAGACGGUUUUGCUGUCACUUAUAGAUGGAUCCGCUCUGCAUUGGCUAGUUGGUAAGGUAACGGCUUACCAAGGCAACGAUGCGUAGCCGACCUGAGAGGGUGAUCGGCCACACUGGAACUGAGACACGGUCCAGACCCCUACGGGAGGCAGCAGUAGGGAAUCUUCCGCAAUGGGCGAAAGCCUGACGGAGCAACGCCGCGUGAGUGAUGAAGGUCUUCGGAUCGUAAAACUCUGUUAUUAGGGAAGAACAAAUGUGUAAGUAACUAUGCACGUCUUGACGGUACCUAAUCAGAAAGCCACGGCUAACUACGUG